RNAcentral lists this ribosomal RNA (460 nucleotides) under uncultured bacterium. RNAcentral's name for it is "partial 16S ribosomal RNA". It matches the Rfam family "Bacterial small subunit ribosomal RNA", at positions 338 to 795 of the family's 1533-position model. The record is from RNAcentral.
CCUACGGGAGGCUGCAGUGAGGAAUAUUGGUCAAUGGACGAGAGUCUGAACCAGCCAAGUAGCGUGAAGGAUGACUGCCCUAUGGGUUGUAAACUUCUUUUAUAUGGGAAUAAAAUGUUCCACGUGUGGGAUUUUGUAUGUACCAUAUGAAUAAGGAUAGGCUAACUCCGUGCCAGCAGCCGCGGUAAUACGGAGGAUCCGAGCGUUAUCCGGAUUUAUUGGGUUUAAAGGGAGCGUAGGUGGAUUGUUAAGUCAGUUGUGAAAGUUUGCGGCUCAACCGUAAAAUUGCAGUUGAAACUGGCAGUCUUGAGUACAGUAGAGGUGGGCGGAAUUCGUGGUGUAGCGGUGAAAUGCUUAGAUAUCACGAAGAACUCCGAUUGCGAAGGCAGUUCACUGGACUGCAACUGACACUGAGGCUCGAAAGUGUGGGUAUCAAACAGGAUUAGAUACCCGUGUAGUC